GACGAACGCUGGCGGCGUGCUUAACACAUGCAAGUCGAACGGAAAGGCCACUUUCGGGGGGUACUCGAGUGGCGAACGGGUGAGUAACACGUGAGUAACCUGCCCUUGACUUUGGGAUAACUUCAGGAAACUGGGGCUAAUACCGGAUAGGAGCUCCUGCUGCAUGGUGGGGGUUGGAAAGUUUCGGCGGUUGGGGAUGGACUCGCGGCUUAUCAGCUUGUUGGUGGGGUAGUGGCUUACCAAGGCUUUGACGGGUAGCCGGCCUGAGAGGGUGACCGGCCACAUUGGGACUGAGAUACGGCCCAGACUCCUACGGGAGGCAGCAGUGGGGAAUAUUGCACAAUGGGUGGAAGCCUGAUGCAGCAACGCCGUGUGCGGGAUGACGGCCUUCGGGUUGUAAACCGCUUUCGCUCAUGACGAAGCUUUGUGUGACGGUAGUGGGUAAAGAAGCACCGGCUAACUACGUG
RNAcentral lists this ribosomal RNA (467 nucleotides) under uncultured bacterium. RNAcentral describes it as "partial 16S ribosomal RNA". It matches the Rfam family "Bacterial small subunit ribosomal RNA", at positions 28 to 507 of the family's 1533-position model. The record is from RNAcentral.